This 1247-nucleotide long non-coding RNA is filed under the name Cairina moschata (Muscovy duck). RNAcentral's name for it is "domestica (muscovy Duck (domestic type)) lncRNA (ENSCMMG00000015519.1)". The record is from RNAcentral. Lineage: Eukaryota; Metazoa; Chordata; Aves; Anseriformes; Anatidae.
AUGGGACAAACGCGGGGUGGAGGGGGUCACAGCAAACCGGGAGGGCUCGACACGGGACUGCAAAGCCCCCCCCAGCCCUCACGCAGCCCCGGGGGGAGGCGAGGCGGCUGGUACCCAACUUGGAGGCGUCGCCGCACCGAGGAUUUCCCGGGGAUCCGAGGGAAACACCGCCCCGGCGGCCCCGCACCGGCCCUCCGACACCCAAUUCCCCCCUGCCCGGCGUGCCCGAAGCCCCCCCAGCCCCGAAGGCAGGCCGAGGAGACCCGGGGCUGCCCGUGGGGGGGGCUCCAGCAGGGCCGGGGGUUUCCCCCCGCACCCGGCGGUUCUCCCGGCACCGCUCCCGGAGGCGGGGAGGGGGGGGGGAGCCGCAAAGCGGUGGCCCCGCGGCGAGCCCCGGGAGCCCCCCCAGUAGCCGGGGCCCCCCCGGCGAGAGCCCGGCCCCCCUUUUCCGUCGCCCACCCGCCGCGGCAUCUCCCUACCCAGGCCGUCCGCGCCAUUUUAGAGACACGCACACACUCUCGCACACCCUCGCACACCCGCUCGCACACACGCACGGGAGCGAGGUUUCCGCUGCCGCUGCCAGAGACAACAGGCAGCAGCCGAGCCCCGGCUGCGAAGGAGGAGCAGCGGCGGCAGCGGGGGCGCCCGGGCGGCCCCGGCUCUUCCCCCCCCCCCCUUCUCCUUCUCCUCCUCCUCUGCUCGCACACGCCGGGCACAAAAUGCUCACUCGAGGUAAUUGCAGCCCGCAGCCGCGGCCAGGGGAAGGGAGGGCGCUGCCCUGCGCGCCCCCACCCCAUUAACCCGCCGCGCACUCGGCAGCCCCGGGGAGCCCUCAUUGUUGCCUUUCUGCCGGGGUGGCUUUUGCUUUUCAGGAGGGCGAGAGGAAGAAAAGAGAGGGGAAGGGAAGAGAAAAGGAAAAAGAAAAAAAAAAAAAGAGAGAGAAAAAGAAAAAUACCACCAAGCCAGCCCCUUCCCCCGCCCGUCCCCCAUUGUUCGGCCGCGGGAGGCUGGGCGAGCGCAGCGCGACCGGCUCGCCAUUCACCAAGCCCCCCCUUUCCCCCUGCCAUCUCCGCAAACUUCGGGGGCUGGGGGGGUCUGGAGGAGGCUCCCUGUGGAGCUUACCUGUGCUGUUCCUUUGCUGCACGGUGAGGUAGGCUUUCCAAGCCUUACAGAAACUUGCUGGGCCAAGUCCUUUACCACCUCCAAGAAACCCUGAAACCAACAUUGAGAACCCAGGUGACAGCGCU